RNAcentral lists this microRNA precursor (91 nucleotides) under Callithrix jacchus (white-tufted-ear marmoset). RNAcentral describes it as "mir-544 microRNA precursor family". It matches the Rfam family "mir-544 microRNA precursor family". Lineage: Eukaryota; Metazoa; Chordata; Mammalia; Primates; Cebidae. The record is from Rfam by way of RNAcentral.
AUCACCUGGGUUCGUGUUAAAAUGCAGAUUCUGAUUCAGGUCUGGAGUGGCCAAGAUUUUGCAUUUCUAAUUAGCUCCCAGGUGAUGCUGA